AUACGAGCGGCAAACGGGAGAGUAACGCAUUAGUAACCUACCUCUAAGACGGGGAUAGCUCCGGGAAACCGGAAUUAAUACCCGAUAGUCAUAAGGGACAUGAAGUCUUCUUAUGUAAACGAUUUAUUGCUUAGAGAGGGGCUUAUGUCUGAUUAGCUUGUUGGUGAGGUAAUAGCUCACCAAGGCUCCGAUCAGUACCGGGCGUGAGAGCGUGACCCGGCUCACUGGAACUGAGACACGGUCCAGACUCC
This 251-nucleotide ribosomal RNA is filed under the name uncultured bacterium. RNAcentral describes it as "partial 16S ribosomal RNA". It matches the Rfam family "Bacterial small subunit ribosomal RNA", at positions 89 to 339 of the family's 1533-position model. The record is from RNAcentral.